AAACAUUAACCAUUCUAGAACUUAUCUUUUAACUCGUGUAGGUUAUCUUUAAAAGUAGAAUUAGCUUUUUUAUUCUAUCUUCGUGUACACUCAAGAUAAAAGGUUAUCUUUGACCAAUGAAUUUUCUAAUAAAUGGAUGAUCUUCUUUUAGAAUAUUACAUCAUAUGAAGUAAGGAAUUCAAAGUUACAAUAUUUUCAAAGGUGUUAAAAGAUACCUUAGUCAUUUUAUGGUGAGGAAUUGAUGUGGUUUUAUACGAGUCAAACAUUAUGAAUGUUAAUGAAAAUUUUAGUAAGUAAAAUGGAAAUAGAUGGUGGUUAAAAUUAAAAGGAAUAGUUUCUUGGAACAUUUUGAUAUUUAGAAAAAUUGUAGGAAAUGAAGGGAUUAUAGAUGGAGAAAGAAGAAAAAAAAAGGAAAAAUGGAGGGAGUGAUUGGAAAUAUAGAGGGUAGGGGAAAACAUGAUUUGAUUAGGUGAAGGGAAUUGUGUUGUUAUUAUUAGAAGUGAAAGUAGGAGAGUCAAAGGUCAAAGAGUGAAGAGAUUGAAUAGAGAAAUGUGUGGGGUCUACCUUUGUCUGAAGACCACCUUUCUUCCAUCUUUUAAUGUGUCCAAAACAACCACAACCUUAUUAUUAUCAUUAUUAUCUAUCAUUUAUCAUCAUAUUCAUUUUCUCUUUCAUUUAUUUCUGAUGUGGAUAAUAAUAUUCAAUGCUUAGUUACUACUUCAACAUGUUUGGUCCCAAUUCCCACAUAAUCAACCAUCUUCCUUAUCAAACACAUCUUACUUUUUUACCAAAAUAAAGCAUCCAACAUGAAACAUCAAAUACCAUUCAAUUUACGCAAAAGUACUCAUCACAACAUCACACUAUACUUUCUUACUCAACAUCUCUUCUUAAUUCUAUAUUUAUAUUUAGUCUUCAUAUCUUAACUCUCUAACUUAACUACAACAUACCUCUCAUUCUCACUUUUUACUAAUCUUAUACAUUUCUAUUGCUUGAACCAAUAUUACAUGCGUCUUCAAUUUUUCCUCUAUAACAAGCUGUAGAAACGACAUAUAUUUGCUUAGUAUGUGUUUGAUUUAUGGGGGUGUGUAUUCGUAAAUACUCUCUCAAAAGUUAUAGAAAAUGGUUAGUUGAAAUGUGAAAAGCUCAAAUGAAACCAAGCAUAAAAGAAAAAAGAAAAACUAUUUAAAACUUGUUUAUUUAUAUAUAAAGAAAAAAAAGUAGAGAGGAAAGUGAUAAGAAGGAGGAGGAGGAGGCGUGAGGAUUUAGUUAGAGAGAGACCGUGAGGCGGCAGAGGCCACGCUUGAGCGUGACUCAGUUGUCUCCGGUCAACCCUGCAGUUCUUUUCUUUUUCCUUCUUUUUUUUGUUUUUUUUGGUUCUACACCUCCUUCCCUCUUCCACUCCACACGUGCUCCUCCCUCUUCUCCCAAUUCCCUACUCUCACACGUGUGCCCCAUUUCCCACUCCUUCAAACUUUAUUCCCUUCCAUUUCAAUUUCCCUCUCUCCCUCAUUAUUUUAACUUAUCCUCCUUCCCAUCUUCUUCAUUAAUAUGUUAUAUGUCUAUACCUCAAAAAAACACAUUUACAAACCCAUACCACACUUACUUAAUACGUAUUUCAUGCGUAAACUAUUUUAUAUAAGAAAGUAAUGACGAUGAAACAUUAGUAAAAACGAUACCAAAUAGUAAACAUUGUAACAAAUGAAUGAUUUGAUUUUGAAUUAGUGUUAGUUGUUGCUAAUUG
RNAcentral lists this long non-coding RNA (1741 nucleotides) under Cucumis sativus (cucumber). RNAcentral describes it as "long non-coding RNA (CSAT_LNC000994)". Lineage: Eukaryota; Viridiplantae; Streptophyta; Magnoliopsida; Cucurbitales; Cucurbitaceae. The record is from RNAcentral.